UUAAGCGACUAAGCGUACACGGUGGAUGCCCUGGCAGUCAGAGGCGAUGAAGGACGUGCUAAUCUGCGAUAAGCGUCGGUAAGGUGAUAUGAACCGUUAUAACCGGCGAUUUCCGAAUGGGGAAACCCAGUGUGAUUCGUCACACUAUCAUUAACUGAAUCCAUAGGUUAAUGAGGCGAACCGGGGGAACUGAAACAUCUAAGUACCCCGAGGAAAAGAAAUCAACCGAGAUUCCCCCAGUAGCGGCGAGCGAACGGGGAGCAGCCCAGAGCCUGAAUCAGUGUGUGUGUUAGUGGAAGCGUCUGGAAAGGCGUGCGAUACAGGGUGACAGCCCCGUACACAAAAAUGCACAUAUUGUGAGCUCGAUGAGUAGGACGGGACACGUGGUAUCCUGUCUGAAUAUGGGGGGACCAUCCUCCAAGGCUAAAUACUCCUGACUGACCGAUAGUGAACCAGUACCGUGAGGGAAAGGCGAAAAGAACCCCGGCGAGGGGAGUGAAAAAGAACCUGAAACCGUGUACGUACAAGCAGUGGGAGCACGCUUAGGCGUGUGACUGCGUACCUUUUGUAUAAUGGGUCAGCGACUUAUAUUCUGUAGCAAGGUUAACCGAAUAGGGGAGCCGAAGGGAAACCGAGUCUUAACUGGGCGUUAAGUUGCAGGGUAUAGACCCGAAACCCGGUGAUCUAGCCAUGGGCAGGUUGAAGGUUGGGUAACACUAACUGGAGGACCGAACCGACUAAUGUUGAAAAAUUAGCGGAUGACUUGUGGCUGGGGGUGAAAGGCCAAUCAAACCGGGAGAUAGCUGGUUCUCCCCGAAAGCUAUUUAGGUAGCGCCUCGUGAAUUCAUCUCCGGGGGUAGAGCACUGUUUCGGCAAGGGGGUCAUCCCGACUUACCAACCCGAUGCAAACUGCGAAUACCGGAGAAUGUUAUCACGGGAGACACACGGCGGGUGCUAACGUCCGUCGUGAAGAGGGAAACAACCCAGACCGCCAGCUAAGGUCCCAAAGUCAUGGUUAAGUGGGAAACGAUGUGGGAAGGCCCAGACAGCCAGGAUGUUGGCUUAGAAGCAGCCAUCAUUUAAAGAAAGCGUAAUAGCUCACUGGUCGAGUCGGCCUGCGCGGAAGAUGUAACGGGGCUAAACCAUGCACCGAAGCUGCGGCAGCGACACUAUGUGUUGUUGGGUAGGGGAGCGUUCUGUAAGCCUGUGAAGGUGUACUGUGAGGUAUGCUGGAGGUAUCAGAAGUGCGAAUGCUGACAUAAGUAACGAUAAAGCGGGUGAAAAGCCCGCUCGCCGGAAGACCAAGGGUUCCUGUCCAACGUUAAUCGGGGCAGGGUGAGUCGACUCCUAAGGCGAGGCCGAAAGGCGUAGUCGAUGGGAAACAGGUUAAUAUUCCUGUACUUGGUGUUACUGCGAAGGGGGGACGGAGAAGGCUAUGUUGGCCGGGCGACGGUUGUCCCGGUUUAAGCGUGUAGGCUGGUUUUCCAGGCAAAUCCGGAAAACUAAGGCUGAGGCGUGAUGACGAGGCACUACGGUGCUGAAGCAACAAAUGCCCUGCUUCCAGGAAAAGCCUCUAAGCAUCAGGUAACAUCAAAUCGUACCCCAAACCGACACAGGUGGUCAGGUAGAGAAUACCAAGGCGCUUGAGAGAACUCGGGUGAAGGAACUAGGCAAAAUGGUGCCGUAACUUCGGGAGAAGGCACGCUGAUAUGUAGGUGAAGUCCCUCGCGGAUGGAGCUGAAAUCAGUCGAAGAUACCAGCUGGCUGCAACUGUUUAUUAAAAACACAGCACUGUGCAAACACGAAAGUGGACGUAUACGGUGUGACGCCUGCCCGGUGCCGGAAGGUUAAUUGAUGGGGUCAGCGCAAGCGAAGCUCUUGAUCGAAGCCCCGGUAAACGGCGGCCGUAACUAUAACGGUCCUAAGGUAGCGAAAUUCCUUGUCGGGUAAGUUCCGACCUGCACGAAUGGCGUAAUGAUGGCCAGGCUGUCUCCACCCGAGACUCAGUGAAAUUGAACUCGCUGUGAAGAUGCAGUGUACCCGCGGCAAGACGGAAAGACCCCGUGAACCUUUACUAUAGCUUGACACUGAACAUUGAGCCUUGAUGUGUAGGAUAGGUGGGAGGCUUUGAAGUGUGGACGCCAGUCUGCAUGGAGCCGACCUUGAAAUACCACCCUUUAAUGUUUGAUGUUCUAACGUUGACCCGUAAUCCGGGUUGCGGACAGUGUCUGGUGGGUAGUUUGACUGGGGCGGUCUCCUCCUAAAGAGUAACGGAGGAGCACGAAGGUUGGCUAAUCCUGGUCGGACAUCAGGAGGUUAGUGCAAUGGCAUAAGCCAGCUUGACUGCGAGCGUGACGGCGCGAGCAGGUGCGAAAGCAGGUCAUAGUGAUCCGGUGGUUCUGAAUGGAAGGGCCAUCGCUCAACGGAUAAAAGGUACUCCGGGGAUAACAGGCUGAUACCGCCCAAGAGUUCAUAUCGACGGCGGUGUUUGGCACCUCGAUGUCGGCUCAUCACAUCCUGGGGCUGAAGUAGGUCCCAAGGGUAUGGCUGUUCGCCAUUUAAAGUGGUACGCGAGCUGGGUUUAGAACGUCGUGAGACAGUUCGGUCCCUAUCUGCCGUGGGCGCUGGAGAACUGAGGGGGGCUGCUCCUAGUACGAGAGGACCGGAGUGGACGCAUCACUGGUGUUCGGGUUGUCAUGCCAAUGGCACUGCCCGGUAGCUAAAUGCGGAAGAGAUAAGUGCUGAAAGCAUCUAAGCACGAAACUUGCCCCGAGAUGAGUUCUCCCUGACUCCUUGAGAGUCCUGAAGGAACGUUGAAGACGACGACGUUGAUAGGUCGGGUGUGUAAGCGCAGCGAUGCGUUGAGCUAACCGGUACUAAUGAACCGUGAGGCUUAACCUU
RNAcentral lists this ribosomal RNA (2901 nucleotides) under Shigella dysenteriae. RNAcentral describes it as "bacterial LSU rRNA". It matches the Rfam family "Bacterial large subunit ribosomal RNA". The record is from RNAcentral. Lineage: Bacteria; Pseudomonadati; Pseudomonadota; Gammaproteobacteria; Enterobacterales; Enterobacteriaceae.